AUUGCAACCUCAUCUCGGCCGCGGAGGAUUUGAAAUCAGAGGAAGACAGGCUAGCAGCAGACAAAUGGCAGCUCGCCAUCAUGAAGCUGAGGUGCUGUGGAUGUUGGAUGAUUCUUACAAGUGCAAUAUGGAUGCAGCAAUCAUCUAUCAGAAACUCACAGGAAGACAAUGUCACAAUGGAGCAUUUUAUAACCUCAAAUGGGCAUGUUAGUCUUGGAAAACGAUGUUGGGAACUCACAGAAGGCAAUGUUAGCCUCAGAACAAAGUCAGUCUUCACCAGAUUUGGGAGUGGUAAAUUCUUUGAUUGUUUAGCAAUUGCUUUGGACAAAUUUUCAACAUGCUACAACCUUUCUUUGAUGUCCUGCUAGAUAAGGAACAAUGG
This 382-nucleotide long non-coding RNA is filed under the name Cucumis sativus (cucumber). Its description in RNAcentral is "long non-coding RNA (CSAT_LNC000398)". The record is from RNAcentral. Lineage: Eukaryota; Viridiplantae; Streptophyta; Magnoliopsida; Cucurbitales; Cucurbitaceae.